RNAcentral lists this ribosomal RNA (232 nucleotides) under uncultured bacterium. RNAcentral describes it as "partial 16S ribosomal RNA". It matches the Rfam family "Bacterial small subunit ribosomal RNA", at positions 99 to 334 of the family's 1533-position model. The record is from RNAcentral.
CGGACGGGUGGGUAAUGUCUGGGAAACUGCCUGAUGGAGGGGGGUAACUACUGGAAACGGUAGCUAAUACCGCAUAACGUCGCAAGACCAAAGAGGGGGACCUUAGGGCCUCUUGCCAUCGGAUGUGCCCAGAUGGGAUUAGCUAGUAGGUGGGGUAACGGCUCACCUAGGCGACGAUCCCUAGCUGGUCUGAGAGGAUGACCAGCCACACUGGAACUGAGACACGGUCCAG